Molecule: long non-coding RNA, 538 nt
Organism: Pseudopipra pipra
Lineage: Eukaryota; Metazoa; Chordata; Aves; Passeriformes; Pipridae
Exons: 2
Source: RefSeq, a predicted model, not a curated record
AGUGAAGCUUAAAAAGAGCAUUCAGAAGUGUUCAAGUGUUCACCAAACUACCUGCCGUAAAUUGAUAAACCUACAGGAUAAUGUCCUUCACCUACACAGAAAAAAGAAAUCUCAGCUGAAUGUGGCCUGACAAGUGGCAGCAUAGACACUACUGCCUACCGUGCCUCCGCUACUGAUGCUGUUGGCUGGACAUUUCAGAGGUUUCAUACUGCUGUCUCUCUGGACAUACAAAUGUUCUAAUCUCCAGCGCUCCCAGCUUUUCCGAAACUCCAUCUGAACCUAACAGAAGCAAAGAAGAAAACAAAAGGAAUUAAUGUAGAACUAAUCCGCUCUUUAAAUGACUCCAUUUGCAUUAGAAAAGAGCAAGGGAAAAAAGAGAAAAAAAAAGAUACCACACUGCUGAGAAAAGCUGAAACCUGCAAUAUUAUUGCUUCAAAUUAUCCAAUUAUCUUGUUAGUCCAUUGUAGGGUAUUUCACAUUUGAAAUAAUGACAUUCCUGUUUACUUGUAGAAAUAAAGCUUUUUUAUGCACCAGAAAA